GCCUAACACAUGCAAGUCGAGGGGUAACAGAGGUAGCUUGCUACUUGCUGACGACCGGCGCACGGGUGCGUAACGCGUAUACAAUCUACCUUUUACUAGGAGAUAGCCUUUGGAAACGAAGAUUAAUACCCUAUAGUAUGUAAAGUUGGCAUCAACUUUAUAUUAAAGAUUACGGUAAAAGAUGAGUAUGCGUCCUAUUAGCUAGAUGGUAAGGUAACGGCUUACCAUGGCAACGAUAGGUAGGGGCCCUGAGAGGGGGAUCCCCCACACUGGUACUGAGACACGGACCAGACUCCUACGGGAGGCAGCAGUGAGGAAUAUUGGACAAUGGAGGCAACUCUGAUCCAGCCAUGCCGCGUGCAGGAAGACUGCCCUAUGGGUUGUAAACUGCUUUUAUACAGGAAGAAACAGCUCUACGUGUAGAGCCUUGACGGUACUGUAAGAAUAAGGAUCGGCUAACUCCGUGCCAGCAGCCGCGGUAAUACGGAGGAUCCAAGCGUUAUCCGGAAUCAUUGGGUUUAAAGGGUCCGUAGGUGGAUAAUUAAGUCAGAGGUGAAAUCCUGCAGCUCAACUGUAGAAUUGCCUUUGAUACUGGUUAUCUUGAGUUAUUAUGAAGUAGUUAGAAUAUGUAGUGUAGCGGUGAAAUGCAUAGAUAUUACAUAGAAUACCAAUUGCGAAGGCAGAUUACUAAUAAUAUACUGACACUGAUGGACGAAAGCGUGGGUAGCGAACAGGAUUAGAUACCCUGGUAGUCCACGCCGUAAACGAUGGAUACUAGCUGUUCGGAUUUAUCUGAGUGGCUAAGCGAAAGUGAUAA
This 817-nucleotide ribosomal RNA is filed under the name uncultured Algibacter sp. RNAcentral describes it as "bacterial SSU rRNA". It matches the Rfam family "Bacterial small subunit ribosomal RNA", at positions 46 to 863 of the family's 1533-position model. The record is from RNAcentral. Lineage: Bacteria; Pseudomonadati; Bacteroidota; Flavobacteriia; Flavobacteriales; Flavobacteriaceae.